This 497-nucleotide ribosomal RNA is filed under the name uncultured bacterium. Its description in RNAcentral is "partial 16S ribosomal RNA". It matches the Rfam family "Bacterial small subunit ribosomal RNA", at positions 28 to 507 of the family's 1533-position model. The record is from RNAcentral.
GACGAGCGCUGGCGGCGUGCCUAAUACAUGCAAGUUGAGCGCUGAAGGUUGGUACUUGUACCGACUGGAUGAGCAGCGAACGGGUGAGUAACGCGUGGGGAAUCUGCCUUUGAGCGGGGGACAACAUUUGGAAACGAAUGCUAAUACCGCAUAAAAACUUUAAACACAAGUUUUAAGUUUGAAAGAUGCAAUUGCAUCACUCAAAGAUGAUCCCGCGUUGUAUUAGCUAGUUGGUGAGGUAAAGGCUCACCAAGGCGAUGAUACAUAGCCGACCUGAGAGGGUGAUCGGCCACAUUGGGACUGAGACACGGCCCAAACUCCUACGGGAGGCAGCAGUAGGGAAUCUUCGGCAAUGGACGAAAGUCUGACCGAGCAACGCCGCGUGAGUGAAGAAGGGUGUCGGAUCGUAAAACUCGGUUGGUAGAGAAGAACGUUGGUGAGAGUGGAAAGCUCAUCAAGUGACGGUAACUACCCAGAAAGGGACGGCUAACUACGUG